UGCCCGGUGGUGUAGUGGUAGCACUAAGGACUUUGACUCCUUCGACCCAGGUUCGAAUCCUGGCCGGGCAGCCA
Molecule: transfer RNA, 74 nt
Filed under: SAR202 cluster bacterium Ae2-Chloro-G2
Lineage: Bacteria; Bacillati; Chloroflexota; Dehalococcoidia
Also listed under: 3 other names
Description: tRNA-Gln
Rfam family: tRNA
About the family: Transfer RNA (tRNA) molecules are approximately 80 nucleotides in length. Their secondary structure includes four short double-helical elements and three loops (D, anti-codon, and T loops).
Source: RNAcentral